ACUAACAAGGAUUCCCCUAGUAACUGCGAGUGAAGCGGGAAAAGCUCAAAUUUAAAAUCUGGCGGUCUUUGGCCGUCCGAGUUGUAAUCUAGAGAAGUAAUGCCCGUGCUGGACCGUGUAUAAGUCUCCUGGGAUGGGGCGUCAUAGAGGGUGAGAAUCCCGUCUUUGACACGGACUACCAGUGCAUUGUGGUAUGCUCUCAAAGAGUCGAGUUGUUUGGGAAUGCAGCUCAAAAUGGGUGGUAAAUUCCAUCUAAAGCUAAAUAUUGGCGAGAGACCGAUAGCGAACAAGUACCGUGAGGGAAAGAUGAAAAGAACUUUGGAAAGAGAGUUAAACAGUACGUGAAAUUGCUGAAAGGGAAACGCUUGAAGUCAGUCGCGUUGGCCGGGAAUCAGCCUUGCUUUUGCAUGGUGUACUUUCUGGUCGACGGGUCAGCAUCAAUUUUGAUCACUGGAAAAGGCUCAAGGGAAUGUGGCAGCUUCGGCUGUGUUAUAGCCCCUGUUCACAUACAGUGGUUGGGAUUGAGGAACUCAGCACGCCGCAAGGCCGGGUUUCGACCACGUUCGUGCUUAGGAUGCUGGCAUAAUGGCUUUAAGCGACCCGUCUUGAAACACGGACCAAGGAGUCUAACAUGCCUGCGAGUAUUUGGGUGGAAAACCCAGGUGCGCAAUGAAAGUGAAAGUUGAGAUCCCUGUCGUGGGGAGCAUCGACGCCCGGACCAGAACUUUUGGGACGGAUCCGCGGUGGAGCAUGUAUGUUGGGACCCGAAAGAUGGUGAACUAUGCCUGAAUAGGGUGAAGCCAGAGGAAACUCUGGUGGAGGCUCGUAGCGAUUCUGACGUGCAAAUCGAUCGUCAAAUUUGGGUAUAGG
This 870-nucleotide ribosomal RNA is filed under the name Agaricus subrutilescens. Its description in RNAcentral is "eukaryotic LSU rRNA". It matches the Rfam family "Eukaryotic large subunit ribosomal RNA", at positions 64 to 921 of the family's 3401-position model. Lineage: Eukaryota; Fungi; Basidiomycota; Agaricomycetes; Agaricales; Agaricaceae. The record is from RNAcentral.